This is a long non-coding RNA of Mirounga angustirostris (Northern elephant seal), 544 nucleotides long. RefSeq lists it as uncharacterized. The transcript has 3 exons. The record is from RefSeq and is a predicted model, not a curated record. NCBI's taxonomy places the organism in Eukaryota, Metazoa, Chordata, Mammalia, Carnivora, Phocidae.
GGUAAAAACAAAGCUCUUUCCACUCAAACCGACAGCCUUGGGGGCGUGGCUUAUUUGAUGUGCUUUAUUAAUAAAGGCGAUCAAUUGAGCUUUUGUCUCUCCACCUACCCCGGAGGUGCCGGGCUUUGAGUCCUCGGGAGGGGGAAAAAAAUGGCAGGGCUGCAAGCUUCCUCCAAGUUUCCAGUAGCACCUGCCACCAAGCUGGCCGUCCUCCCCCACCGAAAAGACCCUGAGAUCUACACUCCCGGUUUGGACUCUGCAAGCCAGAGCGACAGACACACCCAGCUCGAGCGUCUUGCCCACUCCCACCGGGGGGUGUUUAUAAAACUGUGAUCCAUAACAUCAUUCAAUGGCCCCUGUAAGAAGACUCAAACAAGAUGUUUCAGACCUAUGAAGAAAAGCUUUCUUUCUUCCAAGGAACUGCUUAUUUCAAAUCAAAUAACCACCACAUUCCUGCCGUCUUCCUUUCGACCUUGAGGUAAGAAAAGCUGACCUGGGGCGCACCUGAGGACCGAACUCACUCCCAGAACAUCCCCGAGACAGG